UACGUAGGGUGCGAGCGUUAAUCGGAAUUACUGGGCGUAAAGCGUGCGCAGGCGGUUAUACAAGACAGAUGUGAAAUCCCCGGGCUCAACCUGGGAACUGCAUUUGUGACUGCAAGGCUAGAGUACGGCAGAGGGGGAUGGAAUUCCGCGUGUAGCAGUGAAAUGCGUAGAUAUGCGGAGGAACACCAAUGGCGAAGGCAAUCCCCUGGGCCUGUACUGACGCUCAUGCACGAAAGCGUGGGGAGCAAACAGG
RNAcentral lists this ribosomal RNA (253 nucleotides) under uncultured bacterium. RNAcentral's name for it is "partial 16S ribosomal RNA". It matches the Rfam family "Bacterial small subunit ribosomal RNA", at positions 524 to 776 of the family's 1533-position model. The record is from RNAcentral.